This 467-nucleotide ribosomal RNA is filed under the name uncultured bacterium. RNAcentral describes it as "partial 16S ribosomal RNA". It matches the Rfam family "Bacterial small subunit ribosomal RNA", at positions 28 to 507 of the family's 1533-position model. The record is from RNAcentral.
GACGAACGCUGGCGGCGUGCUUAACACAUGCAAGUCGAACGGAAAGGCCCUGCUUUUGUGGGGUGCUCGAGUGGCGAACGGGUGAGUAACACGUGAGUAACCUGCCCUUGACUUUGGGAUAACUUCAGGAAACUGGGGCUAAUACCGGAUAGGAGCUCCUGCUGCAUGGUGGGGGUUGGAAAGUUUCGGCGGUUGGGGAUGGACUCGCGGCUUAUCAGCUUGUUGGUGGGGUAGUGGCUUACCAAGGCUUUGACGGGUAGCCGGCCUGAGAGGGUGACCGGCCACAUUGGGACUGAGAUACGGCCCAGACUCCUACGGGAGGCAGCAGUGGGGAAUAUUGCACAAUGGGCGGAAGCCUGAUGCAGCAACGCCGCGUGCGGAUGACGGCCUUCGGGUUGUAAACCGCUUUCGCCUGCGACGAAGCGUGAGUGACGGUAAUGGGUAAAGAAGCACCGGCUAACUACGUG